UACGUAGGUGGCAAGCGUUGUCCGGAAUUAUUGGGCGUAAAGCGCGCGCAGGCGGUCCUUUAAGUCUGAUGUGAAAGCCCACGGCUCAACCGUGGAGGGUCAUUGGAAACUGGGGGACUUGAGUACAGAAGAGGAAAGCGGAAUUCCACGUGUAGCGGUGAAAUGCGUAGAUAUCGUCUGGAACGCCGAAGGUGAAAACAGCUCGCUGGGGCUGCGCUGACGCUGAGACACGAAAGCCAGGGGAGCGAACGGG
This 253-nucleotide ribosomal RNA is filed under the name uncultured bacterium. Its description in RNAcentral is "partial 16S ribosomal RNA". It matches the Rfam family "Bacterial small subunit ribosomal RNA", at positions 524 to 776 of the family's 1533-position model. The record is from RNAcentral.